AAUCCAUAGGUUAAUGAGGCGAACCGGGGGAACUGAAACAUCUAAGUACCCCGAGGAAAAGAAAUCAACCGAGAUUCCCCCAGUAGCGGCGAGCGAACGGGGAGGAGCCCAGAGCCUGAAUCAGCAUGUGUGUUAGUGGAAGCGUCUGGAAAGGCGCGCGAUACAGGGUGACAGCCCCGUACACAAAAGCGCAUGUGCUGUGAGCUCGAUGAGUAGGGCGGGACACGUGGUAUCCUGUCUGAAUAUGGGGGGACCAUCCUCCAAGGCUAAAUACUCCUGACUGACCGAUAGUGAACCAGUACCGUGAGGGAAAGGCGAAAAGAACCCCGGCGAGGGGAGUGAAAAAGAACCUGAAACCGUGUACGUACAAGCAGUGGGAGCCCCACCACCAAAGCAUUUGCUGUACCGCGUUGACGGAGCGAAGCGACGUCAAACCGAUAAAACAGCAGUGUAAAGUGAGCCGCAGGGCGCUUUGCGCGACAGCGCAAAGGCAGGCGGUUUCGCGUAGCGAAAGCGAAUGCUUUGGGGUGGGGUGACUGC
This 540-nucleotide ribosomal RNA is filed under the name Salmonella enterica subsp. enterica serovar Enteritidis. RNAcentral's name for it is "partial 23S ribosomal RNA". The stretch from base 1 to 366 matches the Rfam family "Bacterial large subunit ribosomal RNA", at positions 161 to 565 of the family's 2925-position model. The record is from RNAcentral. Lineage: Bacteria; Pseudomonadati; Pseudomonadota; Gammaproteobacteria; Enterobacterales; Enterobacteriaceae.